UGGGCCAUCACGAACAAAGCGUCCCUUUCAACCGGGCGAGUUUUCAGCCUGGCUGAGACGGGCCUCUAGUGGAAAAGGCAGGCGGGGGCGUCCCCUGGUGGGGGUGGGGGGCGUCCCGAGGCUGGAAGGAAGCUAAAGUCGCUAGCCUGGUUUAGACUGGCGGCUCUUCGGGGCAGGGACCUUAACUGCCCUCGUAGGGACCCCGUUAAAGAGAGCGUGGAGGGGAGAGGGUCUGAGCGCUUCUGCCUCCUGGCCUUCGGAGCUGGAGGUGGGGGAGGAGAGUAAAGGAGCUCAGAGUCGGUGCAGACAAUUCUGAUGCCCGUGCUUAUUUUUUAUCCUCACAACCACCCUGUGAGUUCAGCCGCCUGUUGAGAAGCGAAAUCCAUGGGGAGGCGUUUUGGUCCCGCGCCUUGCUUUAAAUCUUCAAUUCGGUUUAAGAGGAGAGGGAGACAGUCUGAACACCGCCUCCCUUUUCUACCCACACAGCUCAGUCUCCCCCAGUGCCUUACUCCAGAAUAAGCGCUCUGGGUUCCAUGUGAACUUACGUCUAUUUCGGAAUCUGCUCUGAGAUUCGAGCACCAGGACUCUUGGCCUCCCUUAGUUAGGAGCUGCUUUCAUCCGGAGUCAGAAGAGGGUCUGUCUGGACGGGUUCUUCCUGCAACACUCGUGACUCUACCCCACAACGACGCAGCCCGAUCCUAAAGAGGUCUCCCUGGAAGUAGGUGCCACCACCUGCCCGCGCGGUAGGAAGGAACACAGGAUCCAUACACACACCAGCCGUUUUCAGGAUGACAUCACUUAAUGAGUCCGCCCUACGGAAUGGGAGUCAGCCCCACUGCUGAACGUAGGGGGACUAACUUAAGAAAGGCUGCAUAAAAUGCCUCUUCAUCCGUAUUUGAGAAUGAUCACUCCCUGGUCUUGCCAACUUCGGCCACUUAUAGAAAAUUAGAAGUGUCCUGUCUUUUGGCAGGACAGGGCAUUUUUUUUAAAAAAAAUUGUUCAGUUUUUAAAUAACGGAAAUAAAUAGAUUUUUAAAAA
This is a long non-coding RNA of Hemicordylus capensis (graceful crag lizard), 1038 nucleotides long. RefSeq lists it as uncharacterized. The transcript is spliced from 3 exons. NCBI's taxonomy places the organism in Eukaryota, Metazoa, Chordata, Lepidosauria, Squamata, Cordylidae. The record is from RefSeq and is a predicted model, not a curated record.